GACGUAGGGGGCAAGCGUUGUUCGGAAUUAUUGGGCGUAAAGCGCUCGUAGGCGGGACAGGAAGUUCGUGUUGAAAGACCUCGGCUCAACUGAGGGACCGGCUCGAAUACUCUUGUUCUUGAGGCAAUCAGAGGGUGAUGGAAUUCCCGGUGUAGCGGUGAAAUGCGUAGAUAUCGGGAGGAACCCCAGUGGCGAAGGCGAUCACCUGGGGUUGUUCUGACGCUGAGGAGCGAAAGCUAGGGGAGCAAACGGG
This 253-nucleotide ribosomal RNA is filed under the name uncultured bacterium. RNAcentral's name for it is "partial 16S ribosomal RNA". It matches the Rfam family "Bacterial small subunit ribosomal RNA", at positions 524 to 776 of the family's 1533-position model. The record is from RNAcentral.